Molecule: unclassified non-coding RNA, 3589 nt
Filed under: Cotesia glomerata
Lineage: Eukaryota; Metazoa; Arthropoda; Insecta; Hymenoptera; Braconidae
Description: serine/threonine-protein kinase PRP4 homolog, transcript variant X2
Source: RNAcentral
UUUCAGUAUGGCUGAUGGUCUUUCGUAAAUGAGUAUAAAAGCAAAAUAAGUAUCUUUUUAUACGUGUACUGUAAGUAUACCAAGAUGGCGGGUUAUUGAUGGUUUUGAGUAUUACGUUGAUAUCGUAGUUUUUGAGUGUAGAAACAUACAUAUUUUUGUUUAUACUAAAAUACAUAUUUUUAUUAAAGUUCUUUAGCGUAUACAAAAUGGGAUCAUCCGAUUUAGAGUAUAUUGACUCAAAGCAAGAUAUUCAUAGCAUAGAUGAACAUGCUGAUUUGUUUGAACAGAAAAAGAAAAAAAAAAGGAAACAUAAACACCACAAACAUAAAAAAGAUAAAAUUGUAGACAAGGAAAAAAUAGACGCAAAAGUUGAUCGACAAGACAGAAAAAAACAUAAGAAACACAAAAAGCUUCAAAAAGAUAAAGAAGUGGAAAAUAAUGGCAUUGCAGGAGAGAAAGUUCCUGUAAAAAAUGAUACUAAAGAAUCAGGUAUAAAUGGUAAAGUUGUUAACUCUGUAAUGGAAAUUGCGUCUACUGAAAGUGAAGGUGAAAAUCUAGUUGAUUUAGAUUCAGAUGAAGUAGACUGCACCAUUAUCGAAGAUGAUGUCGAUCUAGAGGAGCUAAUGAAACAAAAAGAACGACUUCAAGCAUGUUUAGUGCAAUAUCUUUCUGAUGAAUCAGAAAAAGAUGAAAAAAGGUUUAAUCGUGAAGAAAUAACAAAAAAAACCCCUGACGUUAUCCUUGUAGAGGAUGAUAGUGGUGAUGAUAUUAUUGCUAAACAAAAACGCCACCGAAGUAGAUCUGGGAGUAGAGAACGUAAGAAAAAUAUUAAAUCAACAGACCGAAUUGUAACAGAUAUAACUCGUGUUAAAAAAUCUAAGCAGGAUGUAGGUGAAAAACGGAAAGAAGGAGAUAGAAGGCGUGAUGAGACAACUAAACAUAAUGACGAAUCAAAGAAAUCUGAUAAAUUGCGAAAAGUAAUAGAAAAAAAAGAGGUAACUCGAAAAGACGAUGUAAGGAAACGUAUAGAUGAAGAUCGUCGUAAAGAGGUCGGGAAACGAGAUGAAUUACGAAAGCGUGAUCACGACAUUAAAGAAGAUGAACGGAAACGUGAAGAUUAUCGUUCGUCUAAAUCACGAAAUGAUUCUAGUAAUCGAGAUAUGAAAGGAAAUUCUAAAAAUUUAAAGCCAGCAGAAAAUCGAAAUUGUCAUUCAGGUAGAGAUAGAGAUGCACGGAGUCGAGAGCCAGUAGUAAGUAAAGAUGGUCAUAGUAGUCGAGACAAAGGAGACAACUGGGAUAAACAUAAUAAUAGAGAUCGUUAUACAUCUAAUCGAGAUACAGCAAGUAGUCGAGACUCGCGGAAUCAUGAUAAAACUUGCGAACGAUCUAGAAGAUCACGAAGUCCCGCGCGAUAUAGGAAUGAUAGAGACCGAAAUGAUAGGUAUCGGCGAUCAAGAUCAUUGUCUCGAAAUCGUAGAGAUCGAGACAGACAUGGACGAAAUGACAGAGAUCGAGAAAAAAAUGGUAAGCGCGAACGAGGUGAUAAAUACAAAGAUUCGCUUUCUGAAGGCUUGAAGGUUGAGAGAUCUGAUAGCUCUAGUGAAGAUGAUCUUAAAGAUAUUGAUAUUGAAGAGGAGGAAGAUGAAGAAACUAUUAUUGAAAGGCGGAGAAAACAAAGAGAAGAGUUACUUAAACGAUUAGGUGGGCCAACUGAGGAUUCAAAUAUGUCUACAGAUGUUAUUGUAAAUGAUAACCCCGUUAGUACCGAACAAUCGAGUUCGUCUUCAAAGCAUGUAGAAGCAAUAAAUAACAGCGAUUCGAAUUCGGAAAGUCAUACUCCGCCGUUACCGGAUCAAAACAAGUUACAACUGUUGGCUAAGAAAAGAAAAUCAAGAUUUGAUGAACCACCAACAAAGAAAAAAUCGGAAAAUCAAGAAGAAGUUAAGACAAAUGAAAAAAAUGAUGAUAAGAUUAAUGUUAAAAAAACUAGUGAAUGGGAUAUGUUUGCUGAUGUUGACAAUGUGGGAGAUUUUAAUAGUCCAACUGUUGAAGGCAAUCGAGUGGGUGGUCACGAAAAUCCAAGCUUAACUGAUAAUUGGGAUGAUGCUGAAGGAUAUUACCGUGUGCGAAUUGGUGAGACUCUUGAUAGCCGAUACACCGUCUAUGGAUAUACCGGUCAAGGAGUUUUCAGUAACGUUGUUAGAGCUAGAGAUACCACACGAGGAGGUAUGGAUGUUGCUGUCAAAAUUAUAAGAAACAAUGAAAUAAUGCAUAGGACAGGUCUUAAGGAACUUGAAAUUCUCCGGAAGCUAAAUGAUGAGGAUUCAGAAGAUCGUUUUCACUGUCUGAGAUUAUAUCGACACUUCUUUCAUAAAAAUCACUUGUGCAUGGUUUUCGAGCCUCUUUCAAUGAAUUUAAGAGAGGUUUUGAAAAAAUAUGGCAAAGAUGUAGGUCUGCAUGUUAAAGCAGUGCGUUCGUACUCACGACAAUUGUUUCUUGCCUUAAAACUAUUAAGUAAAUCAAAUAUUUUACAUGGUGAUAUAAAACCAGACAAUAUUCUAGUCAGUGAAAAUAAAAUUGUAUUAAAAUUAUGUGAUUUUGGAUCGGCAUGUUAUGCACAUGAAAACGAAAAUACACCAUAUCUUGUUUCAAGAUUUUAUCGUGCCCCGGAAAUAAUUCUUGGAAUAAAAUAUGAUUGUGCUAUUGACAUGUGGUCAGUUGGAUGUACGAUAUAUGAAUUGUAUACUGGCAAAAUUAUGUUUUCUGGCAAAACAAAUAAUCAAAUGUUAAAAUUUUUCAUGGAUCUCAAGGGCAAAAUGCCUAACAAAUUAAUAAGAAAAGGGGCAUUCAAAGACCAACACUUUGAUGCUAAUUGCAAUUUUCUAUAUCAUGAAGUUGACAAAGUCACUGAAAGGGAAAAAGUUGUCGUUAUGUCAACCAUUCCUCCAACGCGAGAUCUUGGGGCAGAGCUUGGUGGAACUUCGUUAUCUGCUGAGCAAAAAAGUAGGGUCAGCCCGGUCAACCAACUAAAAGACUUGCUAGAACGCAUAAUAACAUUGGAUCACACCAAAAGAAUGAAAGUGAAGGAUGCACUGUCUCAUCCGUUUAUACAAGAAAAAAAUUAGAUCACUCUUCAAUUAAUUUUUCAAUGACCAUUGAUGGAGCUGGUGAGGGCCAAUAGCGCCGUUCCCGUUGCAAGCCCUCCCUGUAAGGGAGGAAAUGAAUGAAGAAUUCAUCAAGAUCAGAACAUCAAGAUUAAGAACUCAACUGGUGGAAUCUCUACUCUGGUGGAACAAGAUUCAAGCGUACACUUAACUUCUGAUACCAUUCCAAGUGAGAAACGAGUCCUUCGGAAAACACAUAACUAGUCAGUUUAUAUUUCCAAAUAAUUUUAGUAAGUAUUGUUAUUAACAGGUAAGGUGACAGUAUUUUUAAUUUUUUAAUCUAGACUUUUUUUUAUAAAUAAACAAAUUUUUUUUUUUUUUAAUCAGACGUAAUUUGGAAGUCAUUUUAUUAAAGCAUGUACCAAGAUGAAUUUUUUUACCGUGAUUUGCACAUUACGUCUGAAUACUUAUUAAUAAAUAUGAAA